RNAcentral lists this ribosomal RNA (549 nucleotides) under Meyerozyma guilliermondii. Its description in RNAcentral is "partial large subunit ribosomal RNA". It matches the Rfam family "Eukaryotic large subunit ribosomal RNA", at positions 62 to 623 of the family's 3401-position model. RNAcentral also lists the same sequence under 1 other name. Lineage: Eukaryota; Fungi; Ascomycota; Pichiomycetes; Serinales; Debaryomycetaceae. The record is from RNAcentral.
AAACUAACAAGGAUUCCCCUAGUAACGGCGAGUGAACCGGGAAAAGCUCAAAUUUGAAAUCUGGCGUCCUCAGGGCGUCCGAGUUGUAAUCUAUAGAGGCGUUUUCCGUGCCGGACCGUGUCCAAGUCCCUUGGAACAGGGUAUCAAAGAGGGUGACAAUCCCGUACUUGACACGACUACCGGUGCUCUGUGAUACGUCUUCUACGAGUCGAGUUGUUUGGGAAUGCAGCUCAAAAUGGGUGGUGAGUUCCAUCUAAAGCUAAAUAUUGGCGAGAGACCGAUAGCGAACAAGUACCGUGAGGGAAAGAUGAAAAGCACUUUGGAAAGAGAGUUAAACAGUACGUGAAAUUGUUGAAAGGGAAACGAUUGAAGUCAGUCGUGACCGAGAGGCUCAGCCGGCUCUGCCGGUGUAUUCCCCUCGGUCGGGUCAACAUCAGUUUUGUCCGGUGGAUAAGGGCGGUAGGAAGGUGGCACCCACGGGUGUGUUAUAGCCUGCCGUCACAUACACUGGGUGAGACUGAGGAAUGCAGCUCGCCUUUAUGGCCGGGG